Molecule: ribosomal RNA, 484 nt
Filed under: uncultured bacterium
Lineage: Bacteria
Description: partial 16S ribosomal RNA
Rfam family: Bacterial small subunit ribosomal RNA
Source: RNAcentral
AUUGAACGCUGGCGGCAGGCCUAACACAUGCAAGUCGAGCGGAUGAAGGGAGCUUGCGCCUGGAUUCAGCGGCGGACGGGUGAGUAAUGCCUAGGAAUCUGCCUGGUAGUGGGGGAUAACGUCCGGAAACGGGCGCUAAUACCGCAUACGUCCUGAGGGAGAAAGUGGGGGAGCUUCGGACUUCACGCUAUCAGAUGAGCCUAGGUGGGAUUAGCUAGUUGGUGGGGUAAAGGCCUACCAAGGCGACGAUCCGGAACUGGUCUGAGAGGAUGAUCAGUCACACUGGAACUGAGACACGGUCCCGACUCCUACGGGAGGCAGCAGUGGGGAAUAUUGGACAAUGGGCGAAAGCCUGAUCCAGCCAUGCCGCGUGUGUGAAGAAGGUCUUCGGAUUGUAAAGCCCUUUAAGUUGGGGGGAAGGGCAGUAAGUUAAUACCUUGCUGUUUUGACGUUACCAACAGAAUAAGCACCGGCUAACUUCGUG